This 377-nucleotide ribosomal RNA is filed under the name uncultured bacterium. RNAcentral describes it as "partial 16S ribosomal RNA". It matches the Rfam family "Bacterial small subunit ribosomal RNA", at positions 338 to 729 of the family's 1533-position model. The record is from RNAcentral.
CCUACGGGUGGCAGCAGUGGGGAAUAUUGGGCAAUGGAGGCAACUCUGACCCAGCAAUGCCGCGUGCAUGAUGACGGUUUUAGGAUUGUAAAGUUCUUUUCUUAGGGGAGAAGAAACAGACGGUACCAUCGGAAUAAGACUCGGCUAACUAUGUGCCAGCAGCCACGGUAAUACGGAGGAGGCAAGCGUUAUCCGGAUUGACUGGGCGUAAAGGGUGAGUAGGUGGUUUGACAAGUUGGUCGUGUAACUCCGGGGCUCAACCUCGGCAUUAGGUCCAAUACUGUCUGACUAGAGAGCAGGUGGGGCAGAUGGAAUGUAUGGUGUAGCGGUGGAAUGCGUAGAGAUUAGGAGGAACACCAGUGGCGAAGGCGAUUUAC